Molecule: long non-coding RNA, 407 nt
Filed under: Apteryx rowi (Okarito brown kiwi)
Lineage: Eukaryota; Metazoa; Chordata; Aves; Apterygiformes; Apterygidae
Description: lncRNA (ENSARWG00000011321.1)
Source: RNAcentral
GCUCUUUCUGAACAAAGUGAGUUCCUGGCAUUUUUGAAGUCUCAUGAAUGGGUCAAGGUCAGCUGUGGAGGAUCCUUCAGCGUUCCAUACAUGCAUUUCAUGAAGAGACAGAMUAGUACAGGCUGGAAAUCCUUCCGACAGGGCCAGAUGGGAACUUCAGACCACAGCAGCACCUCGUGCAGGGUAACAUAGCAGAAGCAUAAAUCCCUACCUUCUCAUAAGUUGUAUGUUUUAAGAAUUCUGGUUAAGAUUAAUAGUAUUUUGAAACGCUGAUAAAGAAUUUUGUAGUUUGAUAGCUGAUUUUAAAAGCUGCCUGCUACACUAUGGAAGAAGGUAGCCAAGUUCUUUAACAGAUUGUACUUUCUUUUCUUUAGGUAAUUUACUGACUUGAAUAAAUUCAAUUUAAU